AAUAAUGACAGUGUAGAUGUUGGAAUUAUUUGUUAUUUGUAGUUUUCAGUUACUUAUACCUUUCAAAAUAACGAAGGAUAAAACAGAACUUUGUAAAGUGUUAACUCUGGUUCUUUCAGUAUGUUAAGAGAAACAGAAUAUGCAAAACUGUAAGCCUCAGACAACACAUGAAUUAAUAAUGUAAAUCCUGGAACCCUGGACAAGUUUUAUUUGGUUGUCUUGGAGACGAUCUUCAAUAUAUUGGUGAUGCAAAUGCAGUUACACGUUCCAUUGACCUUCCUUUCAGCCACGAAUGACUGGUGUCUGUUUGUUGUCUAAAGUCCUCCUAUUAAGAAAUCCCACAGCCAUCUUUACGUAUCAGGACAAAAAUAAGGGAUUCAGAGACAUCAAGAGCAAUCAAUGUGGACUUCAGUUAACACGUGUUACCAGUAGAACUGCUGAAAAUUUCAAUGGAAACAUCCAAAAAGAAAUCACUUCAUUGGUUCAUUGGACAUGAACAAAUACAGUCUAUGAUUUGUAGAGGAUCAUUAGUCAUGCCCUCUAGGUUCAUUAACUGAUAUGUGAAAAGUUUCCUUCUCUCUUACCCAGGAGACUUCCUGAGAGUGAAACUCCAUCAUAGAUCAGCAUGGGUCAUCAGACCAAAUUUGAAGAUCAUUAUCUUAAAAGCCACGUGGGAUGCUGAAAAUCAUGGAUGGGAAGCAAAGAGACCUAGGUGAGAAUGCAUGCUUGCUCUUUGUCAUUCAGAAGAACAAUUCAAACCUUGGGCUCCAAAGUUAGGCUGUCCAGGUCUAGAUCCUGCCUCUGUUUCAAGAUACGUCACCUUUCUUUAAGUUCCUAAGUCUCACCAUUCUCUCCAGGUGAUAUUGGUAUAAUAACAAUGCCUGUGAUUAUUGUGAAAAUUAAAUGGGAUAAUUUAUCC
Canis lupus familiaris (dog) is the source of this 919-nucleotide long non-coding RNA. RefSeq lists it as uncharacterized. The record is from RefSeq and is a predicted model, not a curated record. The transcript has 5 exons. NCBI's taxonomy places the organism in Eukaryota, Metazoa, Chordata, Mammalia, Carnivora, Canidae.